RNAcentral lists this ribosomal RNA (292 nucleotides) under uncultured bacterium. Its description in RNAcentral is "partial 16S ribosomal RNA". The record is from RNAcentral. RNAcentral also lists the same sequence under 1 other name.
GGACUACCGGGGUAUCUAAUCCUGUUUGCUCCCCACGCUUUCGUGCAUGAGCGUCAGUGCAGGCCCAGGGGAUUGCCUUCGCCAUCGGUGUUCCUCCGCAUAUCUACGCAUUUCACUGCUACACGCGGAAUUCCAUCCCCCUCUGCCGCACUCCAGCGAUGCAGUCACAGAUGCAGUUCCCAGGUUGAGCCCGGGGAUUUCACAACUGUCUUACAUCACCGCCUGCGCACGCUUUACGCCCAGUAAUUCCGAUUAACGCUUGCACCCUACGUAUUACCGCGGCUGCUGGCAC